RNAcentral lists this ribosomal RNA (459 nucleotides) under uncultured bacterium. RNAcentral's name for it is "partial 16S ribosomal RNA". It matches the Rfam family "Bacterial small subunit ribosomal RNA", at positions 338 to 795 of the family's 1533-position model. The record is from RNAcentral.
UCUACGGGGUGCAGCAGUGAGGAAUAUUGGUCAAUGGGCGCGAGCCUGAACCAGCCAAGUCGCGUGAGGGAAGACGGUCCUAUGGAUUGUAAACCUCUUUUGUCGGGGAGCAAAAGACGCCACGCGUGGCGUUCCGAGAGUACCCUACGACAAAGCAUCGGCUAACUCCGUGCCAGCAGCCGCGGUAAUACGGAGGAUGCGAGCGUUAUCCGGAUUUAUUGGGUUUAAAGGGUGCGCAGGCGGAAGAUCAAGUCAGCGGUAAAAUUGAGAGGCUCAACCUCUUCGAGCCGUUGAAACUGGUUUUCUUGAGUGAGUGAGAAGUAGGCGGAAUGUAUGGUGUAGCGGUGAAAUGCUUAGAGAUCAUACAGGACACCGAUUGCGAAGGCAGCUUACCAAACUAUAUCUGACGUUGAGGCACGAAAGCGUGGGUAGCAAACAGGAUUAGAUACCCGAGUAGUC